This 253-nucleotide ribosomal RNA is filed under the name uncultured bacterium. Its description in RNAcentral is "partial 16S ribosomal RNA". It matches the Rfam family "Bacterial small subunit ribosomal RNA", at positions 524 to 776 of the family's 1533-position model. The record is from RNAcentral.
GACAGAGGGUGCAAACGUUGUUCGGAAUUACUGGGCGUAAAGCGCGUGUAGGCGGCUAUGUAAGUCGGGCGUGAAAUCCCACGGCUCAACCGUGGAAGUGCACCCGAAACUGCGUAGCUAGAGUCCUGGAGAGGAAGGUGGAAUGCUUGGUGUAGAGGUGAAAUUCGUAGAUAUCAAGCGGAACACCGGUGGCGAAGGCGGGUCUCUGGGCAGUAACUGACGCUGAGGAGCGAAAGCGUGGGGAGCGAACAGG